AUAAAAAAUACCUAUAGAUAUGCAUUUAAGUUCUAUUCAUCUUGUUUGCUCAACAAGCCUAUAUGUAUAUAUAUAUAUCGAUGUUUGUUUUUUUAUAUCAAGUUAUAAUAAAAACAAUUUAACAUUAGACUGAAGGAUUACUCAAUACUCUUGUAAAAGUGCAUAUUUAUUAUAAUUUACAAGAAUAGUGGAGACAGUAACAUCAAAGUUUCAACCUGCUGGCCUUUUUUGGAUUGUCUGAUCAAAGCUAGAAAGUUGAUAUUUCAAAGUCACUCUUAUCACUAUUCUUGUAAAUGCAUAAUUUUAUACACACACACAUGAUGGAUAUACAGAUAUUCUCUGUAUACACUUAGUGGUACUCAAAAGAUUUAAACUUGGGGGUAUAGAAAUAAAUUUAGGGAUAAGCAAGUUAGAAGAUCAAUGUAUAGAGUAUAUUAAAUACAUGAAAUACAAAAAUGUGUGUAUAUGUAUAAAUAUAGAAAGGUCCAACUUACAGGAAAAGUUCCAUAUAGAGAUAGGGAUCUCAGUCAGACCUUUUUUAUAUAUAUACAUAUAUACAUUCUUUGUAUUUCAUUUAUCUAAUAUACUUUACAUAUAGAUCUGUCUAACUUGCUUAUACCUACAUUUAAUUCUAUAUAUAUGAUGUAUGUAUAUAUCUGUGUAUGUAUAUACACACGCACACACAUUUGUAUGUAUGUAUUAUGCACAGAAAUAGGGCAAAACAAAAUUCUGAUAUAAAAGAUGAUUAUGAUGAUGACAAUAAUAAAAUAAUGCAUAGAGUUUAUCUGACUCUAGCCAUUUUAUUUAAAGUAUUGAGCAUAUUUUUACCCUAAGAAAUUCCACACCAAUCUUUUUUUUUUUUUUCCCCUUUUCACAAGUUCAUGAAAUUGGCAUUUCUUUCUUAUAUAAUGUUUUGUCCUUUUGUUCCAUAUUUUCCCCUUUGACUAAAAUUGGUAAAUCAAUUAAUAGUCAAAAACAGAGCAGAUGACUACGUACCUCCUCACAAGUAUUUUAGUCCCAUUGCUCUACUAAGUUAUGAAGUCUCGUCAGAGUCAACUUUGCCUUUCAUCCCAAUGUGACCAAUAAAAUAAAUACCUGUAAAAUACUGGUGUCUAUACACUUGAUUAUAUAUAUAUAUAUAUAUAUAUAUAUAUACUCUCCUCUAUAAAACUGGCCUUGUACCUAAGAAAGAAAUCAAUAUUUUUCUCUCACUAAAUCUUUGAAAUAAAUCACCUGUUUUUUUUCCCCUAACUUUGUAAUCGAUGUAAAUACAGUUUUUCUUUUUUGUUGUUAUUUUUAUACCUAAAUCUAUUGUAGUUGAAUUCUAUCACUAUUGUUACAUUACCUGUAGCAUAUUUUGAUAAAAAUGUAAAUACUUUCUUUUAUCCAUGAUAAAGUACUCAAAGCAUUUUCUUUUUUUUUAAUAUAUAAAUAUAUAUAUAUAUAUAUAUGAGGGGAAGUUAAAAAUUAUCCACAUUUUCACCAUAUCUUUAUUAUUGUGUCACAAGGCCUCCUGCACAUAUGUGCUUAUACUUGGUACUACUGUGGUCACAUGAUUGAAAUUUGAGCCUAAUCGCAUCAUUUUUCUUUCUGGCUUUACAGUGUAGGCAUGGCUGCUCCACUAGGAAUGUGCACCAAUGCAGAACAAAGAGCAGUGAUCCGAUUUCUCUGGUCGGAAGAUGUGACAGGUGCUGGAAUUCAUAGGAGGCUUUUAGCACAAUACUGGGACAGUGCACUACUGAGUAGAAAUCUGUGUGGGAGUGGACUGAAACCUGACACACAAAGAGGUAGCAGGACGCCCAUCAACCUCCACCACUGACGAGAAGAUUCAGCUAGCUUGAACAGGUUCCCCAUUACCAUCUCUCGGAUCACUCCUCUUUGUUCUUCUUUGGUGCACAUUGCUAGUGGAAUGGCCAUGCUUACACUGUAAAGCCAGAAAGGAAAAUGGCACAAUCAGGCUCAAACUUCGAUCUAAUGACCACAAUAGUACCAACUAUAAGCAUGCACAAAAGGCAGUGUGACAAUAAUUAAGAUAUGUUAUGGCAAAAGUGCGGAUAAUUUUUGACUUACCCUCAUAUAUAGGUAUUGUUACCAUUUUAAUCCCCAUCUCUGUUUAGUUGGUUGCACACCCAAAUGUAUGGUAUCUUAACACUAUACAACAAAAUUAUUCAUUUGUUAAAUGAUAUAUAAACGUUUUCAGCAAAAUUGAUGUAAUAUACUGUAGAUCAAACAAAAUAAUUAAUUCUGUAUAAUAAUAUAUGUAAUUAAAUUAAAUAUUUUGAAAACUAACCUAGAAUCAAAGAAAAAGAAUAAACACAUGCUUUUAUUUUAAAAUUAAGUGUGGAUGCAAAUACAAAUGGCACACACCACAGAAUAUUAAAAUUGGAUGUUAAUUUUUUUUUUUUUUAGAAUUCUAUGUCACAUACAUUGUUUGUAUUUGCAUCCAUGGGUUCAUUUAAAAUAUAUAAUUUUAUGGUUAAAACUCCUAUGAAUAUCAUCUGAUAACUAAUUUAUGUUUUCAGACAAUUUGAGUUUCCUGAAUAUAGAAUGCAGUCAAGUUUAUAAACUAUUUAAUUAGAAUAUUUACAAACUAUAUAAAUAUACAGGAUUAAUCAUCCAUCUAAUGAUGUAGAUUUGCCAAAAAAAGUUUAGUAAACAAUUUAUUUGAUUACCACAGAAUAAAUGAGAAAUCUAUUUCUAUUAUACACUGAUAUAGUUGGACACUUGUUCUCACUACGUGUCAGCUGUUGUGCUCUGUAGCUCUCCUCUGGUGCCUGUCAUACUGAGUAAUCCUUUAUAAAUCCAUGAGGAAGGAUUGUUCUAAUUUUGUUGUCCAUACCAGGAUGUACUCCAUUUCUCUUGCUUGUACCAUUGCUUACUCUUCUACUUGAACCAGGGUAUAUACCGAAUGACUAACCCAGGAACUAAGCACAUACCCAUUAGCUGAAUCACCCCACUUAACAUUUAUAUUUACUUUCCCAUUGUUCUGUAAGGUAAUUAGAUAAUGGCAAUUAGGAGCUUUAAAACCUAACUUUUUAUUAAGUCAAUAGGUUUAAUGCUUUUUUUUCUUCUUUUAUUAAUAACUCUCAUACGGUGUUCAUCUCUACACUAACCUUAUUCAAGUGGUUAUGUGGUUAUCAAGAAUAUGCAUUAAUUCUCUUAGUUUGCUUAUUUUCAGUGUUGUUUUCUAUUAUUUUUUUGAUUUGAUUCCACAAGGGUGAUCUUACAUUGGAGGCAUUUUGGAAAAUUUCAGAAGUGCUGUGGAAGAAACACCGACGGGAUAGUAUUGAAAGUAGGUUUAAUCUUGUGGGAUAUCUCUUUCAAACAAAACCUCCACCAGGAGAGAUCAUGAUUCAGAGACCAAGAAUUCUGUGUGUUCCAUCUCAUGCAGCUGUGGUAAUGAAUGGAAACAUGAAACCAAAUGCCUCCUAAAAGUAAGGCUAGAAGAAUAUCAUAAACCUGUAACCUGUAGGGUGACAGAAAAAUUGGAUAUGGAUAAUCAUUUAUUGGGUUAAAAAGGAGGUCAGAAAUCCUUGUGGAAGUAAGUCAGGAUAAUAGGAACUGAGAUUUGAAAAUAGGAUGACUAAAAGAAACAGUGCAUAUACAAAGCCUAGAUAACCUCUUCAGUAGGCCUAGCAUAGAGAUGAAUGCUCUAUAGAAGUUUCUAAUUAAGAAGAAAGAAAUCUAUGACCAUAAAGGAAAGUGAAACUUAAAGCUCUUAAUAUCUAUAAACUAACUAAGGUGGUGAACUGGUAGAAUUGUUAGUAUGCCAGGCAAAAUGCUUAGUGGUAUUUCACCUGUCUCUAUGAUCUGAGUUCAAAUUCCACCAAGGUUGACUUUGCCUUUCAUUAUUUAGGAGUCGAUGAAAUAAUUACCAUUUGAUCAGUGUGGGCGAUGUAAUCAACUUAGCCCCUCCACUGGAAUUGCUUGCUUUGUGCCAAAAUUUGAAAUCAAUAUCUAUAAUCUCAGGACAGUUUGAUAUUGAAUAUAAAGAAUGACUAAAUGCCAAAUGAUAAAUGAAGUGAUUAGCAUGAGUUUAAUCCGGUCAAGCCAUAUUUACUCAGGUUCAUUUAGACCAGGUAAGUGAUAUCAUAAAUACAAGAAUAAAUGAUAGGAAAAUGUCUUUGGUAUUAAUAAGGGAAUGAAAACAACCUUCCCUUGAGGAUUUAAUUAAUGGUUCAGACAGAAAUUCCAAAAAUGUUACCAAUGCAAGACAGCUGAAAAGGCCUAGAGAGUGUAGGGGUCAUAGUGUUGUGACUAAUAUGAGAACACUAGUUUGAAUAUAUUAAUAAAUAAUAAUGAUAAUUCUUCAUCUCAGGAAUUCAGAUGAAAUUUAUUUCUGUAUAUGACUGCAUAUUUGGUCUUUAUUGCUUCAAAAUCAUGUUUGGGAUGGUGGGGUUAAUCGUAAAGUAGAUCUAGAACAAGACUAAAUAUAUGUUUUUAUACAUAGUAAUUUUACCAAACACACAGUGUCUUUGUUUAUUUUUGAGUUUUAAUCUCACCCAUUCCCUAAAAAAAUAUCAUUUUAUAUGUUUUAGUAUACUAAUAUUAAUAUUAUAUGAUAUAUACAUAUAUAUAUCUCAUUGGUGAGUGCCAAAAUACAGGGGUAAGUUCUCAGCAAACCAACCUUACAAUUUGAUUUUCAUUUUACAGCUAAAACUUUUUCUUCUUUACUUACAUCACUGGUACCCAUAAUAAAAAUACAAUUGCAGAACCACAGUCAGCCAGUUCUCACAUAAACAGAAUGUAGUUUUACAGGCGAAACUGCUUUACUUCAUUAACAUUAUGGAUAUUUUAGGAAGGGACACAAAAGUCUAACUCUCUCUCUCUGAUAACAAAUCUUAGAAACAAAUAUUAUAUAAUUAGUAAUUGUUUGCUUUUUAUUCUAAUUAGUUUUAUCUAUAAUAAAUUAAACGUUUCCAACGUCAACUAUGACUUUCUCACUCAGAACAAUAAAAUAACAAUUUUAUACUGAAAGUGAAUCUAAAUUACUUUGCCCCCCCCCCACCUCCUCAUCAUCACCCUAUACUCACAAAACCUGGCCAA
Molecule: long non-coding RNA, 5046 nt
Organism: Octopus sinensis (East Asian common octopus)
Lineage: Eukaryota; Metazoa; Mollusca; Cephalopoda; Octopoda; Octopodidae
Exons: 2
Source: RefSeq, a predicted model, not a curated record